AGUGGGGAAUAUUGCACAAUGGGCGAAAGCCUGAUGCAGCAACGCCGCGUGAGCGAUGAAGGCCUUCGGGUCGUAAAGCUCUGUCCUCAAGGAAGAUAAUGACGGUACUUGAGGAGGAAGCCCCGGCUAACUACGUGCCAGCAGCCGCGGUAAUACGUAGGGGGCUAGCGUUAUCCGGAAUUACUGGGCGUAAAGGGUGCGUAGGUGGUUUCUUAAGUCAGAGGUGAAAGGCUACGGCUCAACCGUAGUAAGCCUUUGAAACUGAGAAACUUGAGUGCAGGAGAGGAGAGUAGAAUUCCUAGUGUAGCGGUGAAAUGCGUAGAUAUUAGGAGGAAUACCAGUUGCGAAGGCGGCUCUCUGGACUGUAACUGACACUGAGGCACGAAAGCGUGGGGAGCAAA
Molecule: ribosomal RNA, 401 nt
Filed under: Romboutsia lituseburensis
Lineage: Bacteria; Bacillati; Bacillota; Clostridia; Peptostreptococcales; Peptostreptococcaceae
Also listed under: 1 other name
Description: bacterial SSU rRNA
Rfam family: Bacterial small subunit ribosomal RNA
Source: RNAcentral